UACGAAGGGUGCAAGCGUUAAUCGGAAUUACUGGGCGUAAAGCGCACGCAGGCGGUUGGUUAAGUCAGAUGUGAAAGCCCCGGGCUCAACCUGGGAAUUGCAUUUGAAACUGGCCAACUAGAGUAUGUGAGAGGGGGGUAGAAUUCCAAGUGUAGCGGUGAAAUGCGUAGAGAUUUGGAGGAAUACCAGUGGCGAAGGCGGCCCCCUGGCACAAUACUGACGCUCAGGUGCGAAAGCGUGGGGAGCAAACAGG
Molecule: ribosomal RNA, 253 nt
Filed under: uncultured bacterium
Lineage: Bacteria
Description: partial 16S ribosomal RNA
Rfam family: Bacterial small subunit ribosomal RNA
Source: RNAcentral